Molecule: non-coding RNA, 76 nt
Organism: Drosophila mojavensis
Lineage: Eukaryota; Metazoa; Arthropoda; Insecta; Diptera; Drosophilidae
Source: Rfam
GGUGCGACCGGAUGAUGGUUCACAACGACCGUACAGUUUUUUCAACGGGUCGGUGGGACUUUCGUCCGUUUGUAAC